GGACGUACCUCUGGAGAGACCAUUGAUGGCGCCGAAGGGGCAUUUCCCGGAAUAUUAGGGAAUAAUCUCUCAGGCAAAAGGACAGAGUUAAAGAC
RNAcentral lists this non-coding RNA (95 nucleotides) under Clostridiales bacterium. RNAcentral describes it as "Glycine sequence". It matches the Rfam family "Glycine riboswitch aptamer". From Rfam's summary of the family: This family represents the bacterial glycine riboswitch. Glycine riboswitches usually consist of two metabolite-binding aptamers domains with similar structures in tandem. The record is from RNAcentral. Lineage: Bacteria; Bacillati; Bacillota; Clostridia; Eubacteriales.